This 397-nucleotide ribosomal RNA is filed under the name uncultured bacterium. Its description in RNAcentral is "partial 16S ribosomal RNA". It matches the Rfam family "Bacterial small subunit ribosomal RNA", at positions 28 to 526 of the family's 1533-position model. The record is from RNAcentral.
GACGAACGCUGGCGGCGUGCUUAACACAUGCAAGUCGAACGAAGUGGCGAACGGGUGAGUAAUACGUGGGUAACCUGCCCUCCUUUUUGGGAUAAGCCUUGGAAACGGGGUCUAAUACCGAAUAAAGGGGGAUGGGCUCGCGGCCUAUCAGCUUGUUGGUGGGGUGGUGGCCUACCAAGGCGGUGACGGGUAGCCGGCCUGGGAGGGUGACCGGCCACAUUGGGCCUGGGAUACGGGCCAGACGCCUACGGGAGGCAGCAGUGGGGGAGAGUGCAAAAUGGACCAAAGUCUGAUCAAGCAAUUCGGUGUGCACGAUGAAGUUUUUAGGAAUGUAAAGUGCUUUCGGUACCAACAGAAGAAGCGACGGCUAAAUACGUGCCAGCAGCCGCGGUAAUAC